This 6926-nucleotide small RNA is filed under the name Pongo abelii (Sumatran orangutan). RNAcentral's name for it is "retained intron". Lineage: Eukaryota; Metazoa; Chordata; Mammalia; Primates; Hominidae. The record is from RNAcentral.
AGAAGCUGAAGCAGCGGGGAAUCUUGAAAGAGAGGGUGUUUGGUUGUGACCUGGGGGAGCACCUUCUAAAUUCUGGUUUUGAAGUGCCGCAGGUUCUUCAAAGCUGCACAGCAUUCAUUGAGAGAUAUGGCAUCGUGGAUGGAAUCUAUCGCCUUUCUGGUGUUGCCUCCAAUAUCCAGAGACUACGCCAUGAAUUUGACUCUGAGCAUGUCCCCGACCUGACGAAAGAACCGUAUGUUCAGGACAUCCAUUCUGUGGGCUCCCUGUGUAAGCUGUACUUCCGGGAACUCCCAAACCCUCUGCUUACCUACCAGCUCUAUGAGAAAUUUUCUGAUGCAGUUUCAGCAGCAACAGAUGAAGAAAGGCUGAUAAAAAUCCACGAUGUCAUCCAGCAGCUCCCCCCACCACACUACAGAACACUGGAGUUCCUGAUGAGACACUUGUCUCUUCUAGCUGACUAUUGUUCCAUCACAAAUAUGCAUGCAAAAAAUCUAGCAAUUGUUUGGGCUCCAAACCUGUUAAGAUCAAAACAGAUAGAAUCUGCCUGCUUCAGUGGAACAGCAGCUUUCAUGGAAGUGAGAAUUCAGUCUGUGGUUGUUGAGUUCAUCCUGAAUCACGUUGAUGUGCUCUUCAGUGGCAAAAUCAGCAUGGUCAUGCAAGAAGGGGCAGCUUCUCUAUCAAGGCCCAAGUCCCUCCUGGUAUCCUCUCCAUCCACCAAACUGCUGACAUUGGAAGAGGCCCAGGCACGAACACAAGCUCAGGUCAAUUCUCCAAUUGUGACGGAAAAUAAAUAUAUCGAAGUAGGAGAAGGACCUGCUGCACUUCAGGGGAAAUUUCAUACCAUAAUUGAGUUCCCACUUGAAAGAAAGAGGCCUCAAAAUAAGAUGAAAAAGUCUCCUGUGGGUAGCUGGCGUUCCUUUUUCAACUUGGGGAAAUCAUCAUCUGUUUCUAAACGAAAGCUGCAGCGGAAUGAGAGUGAGCCUUCAGAGAUGAAAGCCAUGGCUCUGAAGGGUGGCAGGGCAGAAGGAACCCUCCGUUCAGCUAAAAGUGAGGAGUCUCUUACAUCUCUCCAUGCAGUUGAUGGUGAUUCUAAGCUCUUCCGACCCAGAAGACCCAGAUCUUCCAGUGAUGCACUGUCUGCCUCUUUUAAUGGAGAAAUGCUGGGGAACCGCUGUAACUCCUAUGAUAACCUGCCUCAUGACAAUGAGAGUGAGGAGGAAGGAGGGCUGCUUCAUAUCCCAGCCCUUAUGUCUCCUCAUUCAGCUGAGGAUGUUGACUUGAGCCCACCAGACAUUGGAGUAGCCAGCCUGGAUUUUGAUCCAAUGUCAUUUCAAUGUAGUCCUCCUAAGGCCGAAUCAGAAUGUCUGGAGAGUGGUGCUUCCUUUUUAGAUUCACCAGGAUACUCCAAGGAUAAACCAAGUGCCAAUAAAAAGGAUGCAGAAACAGGUGGUAGCCAAUGUCAGACUCCAGGAAGCACAGCAAGCUCUGAACCUGUUUCUCCUCUUCAGGAGAAACUGAGUCCAUUCUUUACCCUGGACUUGAGCCCGACUGAAGAGAAAUCACCUAAGCCAUCCUCCUUUACUGAAAAGGUCGUCUAUGCUUUCUCUCCGAAGAUAGGACGGAAAUUAAGCAAAUCACCUUCUGUGAGCAUAUCUGAGCCAAUUUCAGUGACCCUACCACCACGGGUGUCAGAAGUCAUUGGUACAGUCUCAAAUACCACAGCUCAGAAUGCAUCAUCUUCAACCUGGGACAAAUGCGUUGAAGAAAGGGAUGCCACGAAUAGAUCCCCCACCCAGAUAGUAAAGAUGAAAACAAAUGAGACAGAUGCCCAGGAAGCAUAUGAAUCUGAAGUCCAGCCCCUGGACCAGGUGGCUGCUGAAGAAGUAGAAUUGCCAGGGAAAGAGGAUCAGUCUGUCUCAAGCAGUCAGAGUAAGGCUGUAGCUUCUGGACAGACUCAGACAGGUACCGUUUGUUUUCCUCCAUUCUUUCUUUAAGUUAAGAGGGAUCUUCAAUCCUGUGUGCCAUCUGUGCCUUUUAAAAGAGAAAUUUGUCCACAGCUAGCUUUUAAUCAAAGAGAAUGCUUUUCUGGGUGGUGCUGAUGGCUCAAAGCCCUAAAUUAAAAGCAGUCAAACAAAACUCCCCAAAAGGGCCAAUGGUCCUGCUUCAAAUCUUCACAAAAUUCCCCUUAUCUCUUUGGACGGUGAGAAUUCGUGGAUAAUUUUUGCACAACUGCGUAGCUCUCGAUUCUGUUUUCUCUUCUGAUAAAAUAUCUUUAUUGUAGCCUUCCAAGUUAACAAGCCAGCUACACCAUCAAAUAUAAAAACUGUUCAUAAUAACAGUCUACAAGCACUUGAAGCUUGUUUUCUAAGCAAUCUUUUCUGAGCCAGGUGAGGGACCUGCUUUUUUCCCCCCAUCUCUGUAGCAAUUCAAGAAGAGAUUGCGGUCUUUAUACACUGUUUGUUUUAGUUUUCCUUCUGAACCAGAUGUGUUUUCUACAGCAUUUGCAUGUGGGAUAGAAGAUCAUGGAUUGCCAUUUUGAAAUAUGGAAGGCACCUAUUUUUUAAUGAUCACAUGGGGAGUGUUUGGCUUUCCAUUUAGGAUAACGUAAGCUACCUUUUCACUCUCAUUUUUUUUCCCAAUUUCCCACUAGGAGCAGUUACCCAUGACCCCCCUCAGGAUUCCGUUCCUGUCAGUUCAGUCUCUCUUAUCCCACCACCACCGCCUCCGAAAAAUGUUGCCCGAAUGUUGGCGCUAGCAUUAGCUGAGUCCGCACAGCAAGCCUCAACUCAGUCAUUGAAGAGACCAGGGACCUCUCAGGCUGGGUAUACACAUUAUGGAGACAUAGCGGUGGCUACAACUGAAGAUAAUCUGUCCAGUUCUUACUCUGCAGUUGCUCUAGAUAAGGCCUAUUUCCAAACCGAUCGACCAGCAGAGCAGUUCCACCUUCAGAAUAAUGCACCAGGAAACUGUGACCAUCCUCUACCAGAGACAACAGCUAUUGGGGAUCCUACCCAUUCCAACACAACUGAAUCUGGGGAGCAACAUCACCAAGUAGACUUAACAGGGAAUCAGCCACAUCAAGCAUAUUUAUCUGGGGACCCAGAAAAGGCCAGAAUUACUUCAGUUCCCUUAGACUCAGAGAAGUCUGAUGAUCAUGUAAGUUUCGCUGAAGACCAGUCUGGGAAGAACAGUAUGCCAACUGUCUCCUUCUUGGAUCAGGACCAGUCUCCACCCCGUUUCUACAGUGGAGAUCAGCCUCCUUCUUAUCUUGGUGCAAGUGUGGAUAAACUCCAUCACCCUUUAGAAUUUGCAGACAAAUCUUCCACACCUCCUAAUUUACCUAGGGAUAAAAUCUUCCUUCCUUCUGGGUCCCUUGCAGACAAAUCACCCACACCUCCUAAUUUACCUAGCGAUAAAAUCUACCCUCCUUCUGGGUCCCCCGAAGAGAAUACCAGCACAGCCACCAUGACUUACAUGACAGCUACUCCAGCAACAGCCCAAAUGAGCACCAAGGAAGCCACCUGGGAUGUGGCUGAACAACCCACCACUGCUGAUUUUGCUGCUGCCACACUUCAGCGCACUCACAGAACUAAUCGUCCCCUUCCCCCUCCACCUUCCCAGAGAUCUGCAGAGCAGCCACCAGUUGUGGGGCAGGUACAAGCAGCAACCAAUAUAGGAUUAAAUAAUUCCCACAAGGUUCAAGGAGUAGUUCCAGUUCCAGAGAGGCCACCUGAACCUCGAGCCAUGGAUGACCCUGUGUCUGCCUUCAUCAGUGACGGUGGUGCCGCUGCUGCUCAGUGUCCCAUGGCUACAGCUGUCCAGCCAGGCCUGCCUGAGAAAGUGCGGGAUGGUGCCCGGGCCCCGCUGCUGCACCUGCGCGCCGAGUCUGUCCCUGCACAUCCCUGUGGCUUUCCUGCACCACUGCCCCCCACCAGGAUGAUGGAGAGUAAGAUGGUUGCUGCCAUACACUCCAGCAGUGCAGAUGCCACCAGCAGUUCAAAUUAUCAUUCCUUUGUCACUGCUUCAUCCGCCUCUGUGGAUGGUGCAUUGCCUUUACCACUUCCUGUCCCACAACCUAAGCAUGCUUCUCAGAAAACAGUUUACUCCUCCUUUGCUAGGCCCGAUGUCACCACUGAACCCUUUGGUCCAGAAAACUGUUUGCAUUUCAAUAUGACUCCAAACUGCCAGUACCGUCCCCAGAGUGUACCUCCACAUCACAAUAAAUUGGAGCAGCACCAAGUGUAUGGUGCCAGGUCAGAGCCACCAGCCUCCAUGGGUCUUCGUUAUAACACAUAUGUGGCCCCAGGAAGAAACGCAUCUGGACACCACUCCAAGCCAUGCAGCCGGAUCGAGUAUGUGUCUUCUUUGAGCUCCUCUGUUAGGAAUACCUGUUACCCUGAAGACAUUCCACCAUACCCUACCAUCCGGAGAGUGCAGUCUCUCCAUGCUCCGCCGUCUUCCAUGAUUCGCUCUGUUCCCAUUUCACGGACAGAAGUUCCCCCAGAUGAUGAGCCAGCCUACUGCCCAAGACCCCUGUACCAAUAUAAGCCAUAUCAGUCCUCCCAGGCCCGCUCAGAUUAUCAUGUCACUCAGCUUCAGCCUUACUUUGAGAAUGGCCGGGUCCACUACAGGUAUAGCCCAUAUUCCAGUUCUUCUAGUUCCUAUUACAGUCCAGAUGGGGCCCUGUGUGAUGUGGAUGCCUAUGGCACAGUCCAGUUGAGACCCCUUCACCGGCUUCCCAAUCGAGACUUUGCUUUCUACAAUCCUAGGCUGCAAGGAAAGAACUUGUACAGUUAUGCUGGUUUGCCUCCACGUCCCCGGGCCAACGUGACUGGCUAUUUCUCUCCCAACGACCAUAAUGUAGUCAACAUGCCUCCGGCUGCUGAUGUAAAGCACACCUACACCUCAUGGGAUCUUGAGGACAUGGAAAAAUACCGCAUGCAGUCCAUCCGGAGAGAGAGCCGUGCUCGGCAGAAGGUGAAAGGGCCUGUCAUGUCCCAAUAUGAUAACAUGACCCCGCCUGUGCAGGACGACUUGGGUGGGAUCUAUGUCAUCCAUCUGCGUAGUAAAUCAGAUCCUGGGAAAACUGGACUCCUCUCAGUGGCAGAAGGAAAGGAGAGCCGCCAUGCAGCCAAGGCCAUCAGUCCGGAGGGAGAGGACCGCUUCUAUAGGAGGCAUCCCGAGGCAGAGAUGGACAGAGUCCAUCACCACGGAGGCCAUGGUAGCACGCAGCCAGAGAAGCCAUCCCUGCCUCAGAAGCAGAGCAGCCUGAGGAGCAGGAAGCUUCCUGACAUGGGCUGCAGUCUCCCUGAGCACAGGGCACACCAGGAAGCAAGCCAUAGGCAGUUCUGUGAGUCAAAGAAUGGGCCCCCUUAUCCCCAGGGAGCUGGCCAGUUAGAUUAUGGGUCCAAAGGGAUUCCAGACACUUCUGAGCCAGUCAGCUACCAUAACUCUGGAGUAAAAUAUGCUGCAUCCGGGCAAGAAUCUUUAAGACUGAACCACAAAGAGGUAAGGCUCUCAAAAGAGAUGGAGCGACCCUGGGUUAGGCAGCCUUCUGCCCCAGAGAAACACUCCAGAGACUGCUACAAGGAGGAAGAACACCUCACUCAGUCAAUGGUCCCACCCCCUAAACCAGAGAGGAGUCAUAGCCUCAAACUCCAUCAUACCCAGAACGUGGAGAGGGACCCCAGUGUGCUGUACCAAUACCAACCACACGGCAAGCGCCAGAGCAGUGUGACUGUUGUGUCCCAGUAUGAUAACCUGGAAGAUUACCACUCCCUGCCUCAGCACCAGCGAGGAGUCUUUGGAGGGGGCAGCAUGGGGACAUAUGUGCCCCCUGGCUUUCCCCAUCCACAGAGCAGGACCUACGCUACAGCUUUGGGUCAAGGGGCCUUCCUGCCCGCAGAGUUGUCCUUGCAGCAUCCUGAAACACAGAUCCAUGCAGAAUGAGCCCUGGGAGCAAUAGAGUUGAAGCAGCCUCUGCUGGACAGUGGACUGUUCUAUUUUUUUUCAAUAACCAAAAAGAUUAAAAAAACAAAAAAUACUAUAAAACCCCUGACCACAUUUAAAAAAAGAUAAUAAAAGUAAACAAAUCGUAUCUUUUUCCCCUUCCCUGCUUCAUUACCCCCUCUUCCAUCUAUAGACUUUGUCAUUUUUGUCUUUAGAAAAGAUCUGAAGGAUGGUAAAGCCCCGUGCUGAAACCCAGUAGAGAAACCUGUCUCAGGACACACUUGCCAUCUAGGGCUAGCUUGAAAGAGCCUGAGGACUGCCUUUAACUGAAUUUGAAUUCAGCAUUGUCCUUUCUUCUUAGUAUUUGCUGCAUAAUUGAGAGCAGUUCACAUCGAUUUCCUGGUAGGCGUCUGCAUUCCCCGUUGUGUUCCUGCUUCUCCUUCAGUAGCUGCACAACUUGCGCAGAUUGACACACUGUUGUCACUUCAUUCUCCCCGUCUGAGAAGGAUCUUGUGUUCAGUUAGAGUCGUGGAAAAAUCCCUGAUCCUUCAAGAUCAGUCAGACAGUUAGCAACAUUAUAAUUAAAAAUAAGAAAUUAAGACUUUAAACAUUUGGUAGAGUCAUCAUAAAACACCAGACCACUUAGACUCAGGCUGAACCAUACUCUUUCUAUUCUUAUUUUUCAUCCUUGUUCCUCACAGUUCAGUGAACGGGCUCAUAUCAUGACAGAAGGGAUUUUUAAAAGUUACUAUUUAAGGAAACUUCUUUAGGUGGAAGAAAGUAAAGUUCUUAUUGUCAGUGAACUUUGUUAGCACCAGAAAACUCUAUUGAUGCUUUUAAUGCAUUGCCUGCCUUCAGGUUUUCUUCUUACCCCACCCCUCAAUAAGAUUUGGUGAGUUGUAAUUUGAGUAAAACAUGUUAUACCAUUGGUUUUCCUAAAUUAUCAACUUUCUUUCAUUUAAAAAAAAAAAAAAAAA